This is a long non-coding RNA of Zingiber officinale, 386 nucleotides long. RefSeq lists it as uncharacterized. The transcript is spliced from 3 exons. NCBI's taxonomy places the organism in Eukaryota, Viridiplantae, Streptophyta, Magnoliopsida, Zingiberales, Zingiberaceae. The record is from RefSeq and is a predicted model, not a curated record.
GAUGUUGAUUUUCAUAGAUGUUUAACAGGUUGGUCCUUUCUGUAGUGUUAGUGCUGCUCAUGAAAUUGGUGAGAGUGUUCGUCAUCAGAUACACAAAAAUCAUAGUCAAGUUUGCUGAAGUUUUCAUUCACAUUGAUCCAUCAUAGUCUAACUGCUCUAUUUCGGAAGAAAGAAAGAAUUUGAAGGGCUUAGAAGGCAGAGACUCGAACGGUCUUUCCAGGCAUCAAGAAGCUGAAACCAUUGUGUCUGACAUUUUGUCAAAGCAAUUCUCUAAGAUGUCCCUAGAACACAUCACACUCCACUCAUUGCAAGGGAAGAUAUUGGUUCAAGCUCUAGUCUCAAUGCCUGCUUAGAUGCUUAUUAGGUACUCCCAUCUUUCUAUCAUC